CAGACCUCUGAUCAGGAAAGACUA
Molecule: ribosomal RNA, 24 nt
Filed under: Schistidium papillosum
Lineage: Eukaryota; Viridiplantae; Streptophyta; Bryopsida; Grimmiales; Grimmiaceae
Description: partial 28S ribosomal RNA
Source: RNAcentral